UGCCAGCCGCCGCGGUAAUACGGAGGGUCCAAGCGUUAUCCGGAUUUAUUGGGUUUAAAGGGUACGUAGGCGGAAAAUUAAGUCAGUAGUGAAAUCCUGCAGCUUAACUGCAGAACUGCCAUUGAUACUGUUAUUCUUGAAUAUAGUUGAGGUAGGCGGAACGUGUAAUGUAGCGGUGAAAUGCUUAGAUAUUACACAGAACACCGAUUGCGAAGGCAGCUUGCUAAACUAUGAUUGACGCUGAUGCACGAAAGCGUGGGGAGCGAACAGGAUUAGAUA
Molecule: ribosomal RNA, 279 nt
Filed under: uncultured bacterium
Lineage: Bacteria
Description: partial 16S ribosomal RNA
Rfam family: Bacterial small subunit ribosomal RNA
Source: RNAcentral